UACGUAGGGUGCAAGCGUUGUCCGGAAUUAUUGGGCGUAAAGAGCUCGUAGGCGGUUUGUCGCGUCUGCUGUGAAAACUCGGGGCUUAACCCCGGGCCUGCAGUGGGUACGGGCAGACUAGAGUGCGGUAGGGGAGACUGGAAUUCCUGGUGUAGCGGUGAAAUGCGCAGAUAUCAGGAGGAACACCGGUGGCGAAGGCGGGUCUCUGGGCCGUUACUGACGCUGAGGAGCGAAAGCGUGGGGAGCGAACAGG
Molecule: ribosomal RNA, 253 nt
Filed under: uncultured bacterium
Lineage: Bacteria
Description: partial 16S ribosomal RNA
Rfam family: Bacterial small subunit ribosomal RNA
Source: RNAcentral